RNAcentral lists this transfer RNA (72 nucleotides) under Heterocephalus glaber (naked mole-rat). It matches the Rfam family "tRNA". From Rfam's summary of the family: Transfer RNA (tRNA) molecules are approximately 80 nucleotides in length. Their secondary structure includes four short double-helical elements and three loops (D, anti-codon, and T loops). Lineage: Eukaryota; Metazoa; Chordata; Mammalia; Rodentia; Bathyergidae. The record is from Rfam by way of RNAcentral.
GGGGAUGUAUCUCAGUGGCAGAGCACUUGCCUAGCAUGCAUGAGGCUCUGGGUUGAAUCCCCAGUACUGUCA